GGCUGGUUCACAUGCAGUGGUGUUCACAACUAACUGAUCACAGCCAGUUACAGAUUCCUUUGUUCCUUCUGCACUCCCACCACUUCACUUGACUAGUCUUUA
Molecule: unclassified non-coding RNA, 102 nt
Organism: Otolemur garnettii (small-eared galago)
Lineage: Eukaryota; Metazoa; Chordata; Mammalia; Primates; Galagidae
Rfam family: Y RNA
About the family: Y RNAs are components of the Ro ribonucleoprotein particle (Ro RNP), in association with Ro60 and La proteins. The Y RNAs and Ro60 and La proteins are well conserved, but the function of the Ro RNP is not known.
Source: Ensembl